This 1094-nucleotide ribosomal RNA is filed under the name Campylobacter jejuni. RNAcentral's name for it is "bacterial SSU rRNA". It matches the Rfam family "Bacterial small subunit ribosomal RNA", at positions 422 to 1533 of the family's 1533-position model. Lineage: Bacteria; Pseudomonadati; Campylobacterota; Epsilonproteobacteria; Campylobacterales; Campylobacteraceae. The record is from RNAcentral.
AGCGUAAACUCCUUUUCUUAGGGAAGAAUUCUGACGGUACCUAAGGAAUAAGCACCGGCUAACUCCGUGCCAGCAGCCGCGGUAAUACGGAGGGUGCAAGCGUUACUCGGAAUCACUGGGCGUAAAGGGCGCGUAGGCGGAUUAUCAAGUCUCUUGUGAAAUCUAAUGGCUUAACCAUUAAACUGCUUGGGAAACUGAUAGUCUAGAGUGAGGGAGAGGCAGAUGGAAUUGGUGGUGUAGGGGUAAAAUCCGUAGAUAUCACCAAGAAUACCCAUUGCGAAGGCGAUCUGCUGGAACUCAACUGACGCUAAGGCGCGAAAGCGUGGGGAGCAAACAGGAUUAGAUACCCUGGUAGUCCACGCCCUAAACGAUGUACACUAGUUGUUGGGAUGCUAGUCAUCUCAGUAAUGCAGCUAACGCAUUAAGUGUACCGCCUGGGGAGUACGGUCGCAAGAUUAAAACUCAAAGGAAUAGACGGGGACCCGCACAAGCGGUGGAGCAUGUGGUUUAAUUCGAAGAUACGCGAAGAACCUUACCUGGGCUUGAUAUCCUAAGAACCUUAUAGAGAUAUGAGGGUGCUAGCUUGCUAGAACUUAGAGACAGGUGCUGCACGGCUGUCGUCAGCUCGUGUCGUGAGAUGUUGGGUUAAGUCCCGCAACGAGCGCAACCCACGUAUUUAGUUGCUAACGGUUCGGCCGAGCACUCUAAAUAGACUGCCUUCGUAAGGAGGAGGAAGGUGUGGACGACGUCAAGUCAUCAUGGCCCUUAUGCCCAGGGCGACACACGUGCUACAAUGGCAUAUACAAUGAGACGCAAUACCGCGAGGUGGAGCAAAUCUAUAAAAUAUGUCCCAGUUCGGAUUGUUCUCUGCAACUCGAGAGCAUGAAGCCGGAAUCGCUAGUAAUCGUAGAUCAGCCAUGCUACGGUGAAUACGUUCCCGGGUCUUGUACUCACCGCCCGUCACACCAUGGGAGUUGAUUUCACUCGAAGCCGGAAUACUAAACUAGUUACCGUCCACAGUGGAAUCAGCGACUGGGGUGAAGUCGUAACAAGGUAACCGUAGGAGAACCUGCGGUUGGAUCACCUCCUUUCUA